GCCUCCGGGCAAUUGAUCAAUGAAAAGAUACAGAGAAGAUUAUCAUUGCCCCUGCACUAAGGAUGACACGCUCAAUCAUAGAGAUGCACUAUUUUCUU
This 98-nucleotide small nuclear RNA is filed under the name Pyrenophora tritici-repentis Pt-1C-BFP. Lineage: Eukaryota; Fungi; Ascomycota; Dothideomycetes; Pleosporales; Pleosporaceae. The record is from RNAcentral.